This 20-nucleotide microRNA is filed under the name Gallus gallus (chicken). RNAcentral describes it as "microRNA Ros-gga". The record is from RNAcentral. Lineage: Eukaryota; Metazoa; Chordata; Aves; Galliformes; Phasianidae.
CCGGCUGGGAGCUACGAUUU